CGUAAUAGCUCACUGGUCGAGUCGGCCUGCGCGGAAGAUGUAACGGGGCUAAACCAUGCACCGAAGCUGCGGCAGCGACACUCAGGUGUUGUUGGGUAGGGGAGCGUUCUGUAAGCCUGUGAAGGUGGCCUGUGAGGGUUGCUGGAGGUAUCAGAAGUGCGAAUGCUGACAUAAGUAACGAUAAAGCGGGUGAAAAGCCCGCUCGCCGGAAGACCAAGGGUUCCUGUCCAACGUUAAUCGGGGCAGGGUGAGUCGACCCCUAAGGCGAGGCCGAAAGGCGUAGUCGAUGGGAAACGGGUUAAUAUUCCCGUACUUGGUGUUACUGCGAAGGGGGGACGGAGAAGGCUAUGUUGGCCGGGCGACGGUUGUCCCGGUUUAAGCGUGUAGGUGUGUGUUCCAGGUAAAUCCGGUUCACUUUAACACUGAGGCGUGAUGACGAGGCACUACGGUGCUGAAGCAACAAAUGCCCUGCUUCCAGGAAAAGCCUCUAAGCAUCAGGUAACAUCAAAUCGUACCCCAAACCGACACAGGUGGUCAGGUAGAGAAUACCAAGGCGCUUGA
RNAcentral lists this ribosomal RNA (561 nucleotides) under Salmonella enterica subsp. enterica serovar Anatum. RNAcentral's name for it is "partial 23S ribosomal RNA". It matches the Rfam family "Bacterial large subunit ribosomal RNA", at positions 1133 to 1693 of the family's 2925-position model. The record is from RNAcentral. Lineage: Bacteria; Pseudomonadati; Pseudomonadota; Gammaproteobacteria; Enterobacterales; Enterobacteriaceae.